UACGGGAAGGCAGCAGUGGGGAAUAUUGCACAAUGGGCGAAAGCCUGAUGCAGCUAUGCCGCGUGUAUGAAGAAGGCCUUAGGGUUGUAAAGUACUUUCAUCGGGGAGGAAAAAAACAAAACUAAUAAUUUUAUUUCUUGACGUUACCCGAAAAAGAAGCACCGGCUAACUCCGUGCCAGCAGCCGCGGUAAUACGGAGGGUGCUAGCGUUAAUCAGAAUUACUGGGCGUAAAGAGCACGUAGGUGGUUUUUUUAAGUCAGAUGUGAAAUCCCCCGGGCUUAACCUGGAACUGCAUUUUGAAACUGAAAUACUAGAGUAUCGUAGAGGGAGGUAGAAUUCUAGGUGUAGCGGUGAAAUGCGUAGAUAUCUGGAGGAAUACCUGUGGCGAAAGCGGCCUCCUAAACGAAUACUGACACUGAGGGUGCGAAAGCGUGGGGAGCGAAACAGGGAUUUAGA
This 457-nucleotide ribosomal RNA is filed under the name uncultured bacterium. Its description in RNAcentral is "bacterial SSU rRNA". It matches the Rfam family "Bacterial small subunit ribosomal RNA", at positions 340 to 782 of the family's 1533-position model. The record is from RNAcentral.